UGCGGGGUAGAGCAGUUGGUAGCUCGUCGGGCUCAUAACCCGGAGGUCGUAGGUUCGAGUCCUACCCCCGCUA
RNAcentral lists this transfer RNA (73 nucleotides) under Rhodopirellula sp. RNAcentral's name for it is "tRNA-Met". It matches the Rfam family "tRNA". From Rfam's summary of the family: Transfer RNA (tRNA) molecules are approximately 80 nucleotides in length. Their secondary structure includes four short double-helical elements and three loops (D, anti-codon, and T loops). Lineage: Bacteria; Pseudomonadati; Planctomycetota; Planctomycetia; Pirellulales; Pirellulaceae. The record is from RNAcentral. RNAcentral also lists the same sequence under 5 other names.